CCGAGUGCGGGCCCUCUGGGUCCAACCUCCCACCCGUGUUUAUCGUACCUUGUUGCUUCGGCGGGCCCGCCGCUCUGGCCGCCGGGGGGCUCUCGCCCCCGGGCCCGUGCCCGCCGAAGACACCAUUGAACGCUGCCUGAAGAAUGCAGUCUGAGCUUAUUAGCUAAAUCGGUUA
This 175-nucleotide unclassified non-coding RNA is filed under the name uncultured fungus. RNAcentral's name for it is "sequence contains ITS1, 5.8S rRNA gene". The record is from RNAcentral. Lineage: Eukaryota; Fungi.